AGUCGUUCGUUAGCGAGACGUUCAUUGUGUCUCAGGACUGCUUUUUUAAUCGCAAAGAUGGAAAAAACUUUGGUUCAUCGCGUGGCUUAAGUGGUUUGGUGCGACUGUCUGAAUGCAAUGAUGAAGUAACACAUCAUUUGAUAAGCUACCACCUGUCUAAAGAGGUCUUAAGUGAAAAUGUAUGUAAGAAUGAUCUACCUGCUUGAUUUAUAUUUGCUACGCUUCAUGUUGACGAGUCCCUCAAAAUGGCGGCCAAACUUGGAGAUUGCCGAAAAUUAGCUAAAUCCAUUUGGAUCUGGAGUUCCAAAUACUGACAGCCGACGCCUGUAUUGAGAGCACUUGCCACAAAAUACUUCCCCACACCUUAAAAUAAAAAGUAUGGUAAACAAAACAGCUUCAUUUUGAUUUUUAAAAGACACUUUAAGGACAGAGUAAAUAGUUUGAACCCAGGAUUCAUGGCUGACAAUGUGGUCUGACUAAUGAAAAGACUUCGAUAAAAGGCUACUCCCCUCCAGAUGACCAGACCACAAGAUUGAUAAGCUCUUAGAAUAGCUGCAGAGUGAUUAGCAAAGCUGAUGCAGUUAUAGACAAAAUUAGUUGAAUUGAGCACUUUAUCCCCUAGCCUAAGAAUAUCUCAUCUUGAACUUUAUGAACAGUUUUAAAGGCUACAAUCUAGAAAUUAUCCUAAAAAUAAUUCUAUAAAAAUUGUCGAAAUCAUAAUCAUCUGAGAUCAUGAUGACUGUUUAUUGAGCUAAUAUCAGUAGGCAUAUUCCCCAUACUGUUUUCUACACAUUUCCUAUGGUACUGACAAGGAGAAUUUGUCUAACAAUCAAGAGCUUCUUUAGUUGGUGAUCAUUUGUUCUAUUCCUGUGGCCUUAAUGAGUGAUGCAGGGGUGAUAUUAUAAUGAGAAAUUAGAUGCUAGUCAUUCUUUGGGCUUUAAUG
This is a long non-coding RNA of Pocillopora verrucosa, 943 nucleotides long. RefSeq lists it as uncharacterized. Lineage: Eukaryota; Metazoa; Cnidaria; Anthozoa; Scleractinia; Pocilloporidae. The record is from RefSeq and is a predicted model, not a curated record.